GAUGAACGCUAGCUACAGGCUUAACACAUGCAAGUCGAGGGGCAGCAUGGACCCAGCUUUGCUGGGUUUGAUGGCGACCGGCGCACGGGUGAGUAACGCGUAUCCAACCUGCCCUUUACUCCGGGAUAGUCUCCUGAAAGGGAGUUUAGUACCGGAUGUGUUUGUCUUUCCGCAUGGGAGCGACAAAUAAAGAUUAAUUGGUAAAGGAUGGGGAUGCGUCCCAUUAGCUUGUUGGCGGGGUAACGGCCCACCAAGGCGACGAUGGGUAGGGGUUCUGAGAGGAAGGUCCCCCACAUUGGAACUGAGACACGGUCCAAACUCCUACGGGAGGCAGCAGUGAGGAAUAUUGGUCAAUGGGCGGGAGCCUGAACCAGCCAAGUAGCGUGAAGGACGACGGCCCUACGGGUUGUAAACUUCUUUUAUAAGGGAAUAAAGUUCGCCACGUGUGGUGUUUUGUAUGUACCUUAUGAAUAAGCA
This 477-nucleotide ribosomal RNA is filed under the name uncultured bacterium. Its description in RNAcentral is "bacterial SSU rRNA". It matches the Rfam family "Bacterial small subunit ribosomal RNA", at positions 28 to 492 of the family's 1533-position model. The record is from RNAcentral.